ACAGUGUUACCCAGUAACUAUCCUGCACAGAGUUGACAAGGUGUGACAAUAAUAAACUACUCAUCCACCAAUUUGAUAUGACAAAAAAUUUUGUUUCUUUAGUUUGAGCAUAUGCCUGAGAAAAUUACCCUAUAAGUUGCAGGAUACGAAGUCAACCAAUUCUUUUCAUAAUUUUUUCUGCCUCAGUGAAUUCAAAUGGCUUAAACACAAACCACCGCAAUCAACUGACACCAUCAAAAUCAUGCAGCUUCGGCUUAACUUCGAGAUCAAAGGCCAUUCCAACAUAAUUGGACUCACUCUCUUCUUUUGCUGGCCUGAACAUGAAGAUGGCUAGGAAGGAGAGAGCUAUAAAGCAGUUGUAUCCAUGGGAUAGCAUCCAAGCACCCGCAGAAAUGUCGCAAAUUCCUGCAGAUGUCCUAAAGCACUUUGGGCACGAGGCUCUGCCAUAGAUGCCUCAAAAUCAAUGUAGAAAAGGUAGUCAAAGUACUUGGCACUUCCGGUGUUGGAAUCAUCAACUACUCUUAAUGGCUUUUUUCUUUGUGGCCUGCUUUCUAUCUUUGUCAAAUUUAUGUCCCUCAAUGCAAACACAGCCAAGGCCUUAAACAAGACUCCUGGGCCCUCUUCCAAAGUAAAUACAAUGCUUGUCUUAUAGGGCUUAUCAGUUCUUGGAAUUAUUGGAUCUCUUGCAAGGACCAGAUAACGAGUUACAUUAUCAGAGUCAUCCUGGAUAUUUUCUGCCAGUAUAUUAAGCCCAUAUAUUUCUGAAGCUCGAGCACUUGCUACAGCACCAGCAUCCCUCAGCUCAUUCGAGGCUACAUACUGAGCAGCACCAGCUGCAUCAUCAACAUUUUCUCUUGCUACACUUAACUUACUCAGGAAAAUAUCACUCAAAUCAAGUACCUGUGGAUGGCUUAGAACACGUUUCAACUGCUCUGUUCUGACACCUGGCAUAGCUAGAAGACAGAGGUUAACAAACAAUUGUACUUCACCAACAAUGUGAAGCCUGUGUCGAAGGAGUAAAUCAUAGUUGCGAUGAAUGCUUCCAGCCAAAGAACAUUCAAUUGGAAGAACUGCUUUAUCCGCUAGCCAUAAUUCAACAGCCUUAAAUGCAU
Molecule: unclassified non-coding RNA, 1112 nt
Filed under: Hevea brasiliensis (rubber tree)
Lineage: Eukaryota; Viridiplantae; Streptophyta; Magnoliopsida; Malpighiales; Euphorbiaceae
Source: RNAcentral